Molecule: transfer RNA, 65 nt
Filed under: Eurycotis decipiens
Lineage: Eukaryota; Metazoa; Arthropoda; Insecta; Blattodea; Blattidae
Description: tRNA-Glu
Source: RNAcentral
AUUUAUAUAGUUUAAUAUUAAAACAUUACAUUUUCACUGUAAAAAUAAAAUUAUUUUUAUAAAUA